GGCCAGCUGGUCAGUGACUCGACAUGUAGGUGGCUGGUGAGAGUGUGCAGUUGUCAGUCAUUUGGUAGGAGGAGCCAGCUGGUAACUCGUAGGAUAUACUGGAGCUAGUAAAGGUAACCAGGGCUUGUGUGGAGUCGCAGGACUGCUUUUCUGCAUCUUCCGAAUUGAUGGAGUGUGGUCGAUGGAAUUCUCUGACGACACUGCAUGGCCCAUACCUUGCCUUAAAUGAAAAAAAGAAACCCUACUUUGUUCCUUUGUUGCUUAUUAAAUAUAUUGAACGUCUUACCUGGAGAUGGUGUACACUGUGCAGAGUGUAACAUUUUUACAUCUUCUUCAAAGUCAAGAAGGAAAUCCUCAAAGUCCCGAUCAUCUUAGAGGUAAAAAGACACCGACUCGGAAGAAGAUUUUGAUGACCCUUUAUGCAAACCACUGAUGAACUUUUAUACAGACAUUUGAUGAACUUUUAGAGACUUUAACUUUAUGGACACUUGAAAAACUUUGCUUGCCAUCUGCAGCAAAGAUACAGCAACCCGGACAAGACAUCAACAAGACUUCAACAAGACAUCCAAGGACAAUCACAUACAAUAUCAUAUGAAUGCAUUUAUAACGCGUUUCUUAUCUUCAUCUCUACCAUCUUCAGGUAGUGACACACAUAGUUGACAGGUAAUAUAGGCACAUAUAUUAGCACUCACAUAUUUUCCCCCCUUCAUGUAUCAUCAACUAAUGUGCACCCCAUUUGUUGGAACUAAAAAGCCGAAAAGAGCUCGGUAGAGUUUGUUAGCCCACUUACAGACCCUUAAUACGGGAUAAGAAGGAUUCAAUGUAUACUUCGCAAUACCUCGAAGCUUAUUUUUUUUUUUAACAUGUACGGCACAAUGAUACAUGACCCCUCAGACAUGGAUUUCAUACAUACAUGCUUUUUACUAUCUCACUAGGUCAUACAGUUCCCACAUUCUCCUCUCCUCCCAACUCCCAAUCAUAAUAAGGUAUUUCAUGGUAAUAUAUAUUUUUCUGCUUAAUUGUUUAGAUAGUGGCAGUUAUUGUUGACUGCCAAAGGGUGGACUGUCAAAGUCGAAAAAUAUCAUGAUUCACAUGCCUUGUACUAACCCCAAUACACAUGCCCGCUGCUCGUGCACCCACUACCCCGUGCGUACGCAUCCCCUCAGGUUGCGUAGGGGACGCUCCAACGUCUCCUGCGCAUGGAGAUGUGUAUUUACGGCGGAGUUUGUAAGCGUCUAGCGAGCAACUCGAUCGCAACAUAUUUAACCCAUAUAGUGUGUUUUAUAGAUAAUAUUCCCCUUAACAAUGUCAGCAAGUAUGUUUAGUUUAAACGGUUCUUGGACAGAGAGAUCCCUCUUUGCAUGAUAGGAAGGGUCAGAUAAAGGUUGAACAGUGGUGUCUAGUAUCCAGCUGUAGAGUAUUUUAAUGGUAACAUUUCGGUGUUGGUUAGGAAAAGAUUGCUCGCUCCUGCGUAUAGUUAUGUACAAAAGUAGUUUAUGGACAUUUACUGUAUUUGCUGUUCAUUAUCCAUGACGCGGGAAUCCUGAGGAUACCUCCCACCUGAGCAGUUGGAGAAAGACACAGCCCACCUGUUCAAACCCACCUAUGACCUUUUGUUAUAAUGCAGAGACACAUUCCUGUGUCCAAUGAACAAUGAGAUUAUAGGGACCAUUGUAUUGUUACUGUAUGCUGUGUAUAUAAGGACCACCAUUGCCUGGGCCAGACACUCACUCUCUCUGAAAUGCUUUCUCAUUGAAUGCUGAGGGCUGGAUCCAGGACGCGCUUGCGAAUCAUUCCCACGUAUGUAUUGUUCUCUGUAGCCAUUUUAUUAUCCUUAGUGUUUGCCAUUUAUUCUCAUUCUGUUUGCUUGUGUUUGUAAUUG
Pseudophryne corroboree (corroboree frog) is the source of this 1882-nucleotide long non-coding RNA. RefSeq lists it as uncharacterized. The transcript has 3 exons. Lineage: Eukaryota; Metazoa; Chordata; Amphibia; Anura; Myobatrachidae. The record is from RefSeq and is a predicted model, not a curated record.